Molecule: long non-coding RNA, 1093 nt
Organism: Rosa rugosa (rugosa rose)
Lineage: Eukaryota; Viridiplantae; Streptophyta; Magnoliopsida; Rosales; Rosaceae
Exons: 3
Source: RefSeq, a predicted model, not a curated record
AGAAUGAUUUACUGACAUUGAAUGUGGAGGCAGUCAUGGAUUCAUAGCAAAGAGUGGGAACUAGGGAGUAAAGACAAUUGUCAAGGACUGGACUCAUUUUCUCCUUUUGUAAAGGUCACGAGAUAAGAGGCUAAUGGAAUAUUGGAUGAAGAGUUCAGUGGUCAUGAGGCUGCAAGAAUGAUUUGGGCAGUAGCAGACUUGGUGAUAUUGAAUAUGCUGGUAGUCAUGGCUUCAUAGCAAAGGAUGGAGAUUAAGGAGUAAGGACAACAUUGUCAAGGACUGGGCUCAUUUUUUCCUUUUGUCGUUGUCAGCAGAUAGAUCACAGCAAGUAGGAUGAAAUUCAGUGGCUAGAGGCAAGGAGAAUAGGGAUGUGGGCGAUGUCCUUGGGAGACAGAUUCCUUGUGGCAUUUCUGAUCAGUAGCAAGUAUGGAAGACAAUCUUUCGUUCUACGUACAGUGCUGCAAGUUUGUAUUGGGGACUUACCCUCUCUACAGAACUGAUGAAGUGAUUGGAGGAGUUGAUGCAGCUGCUAUUUCGUAGGUUAUACUUGCUGUCUAGGAAGCAUCAGGAGAGCAUCUCAAGGUUUGUGUACGCUACAUUUCAAGUGGGGUUUUGGAUUCAAAAGAGAAUGCCAUUGAUGUGUUGAACCAUCUGAACAGUUCAAUCAUCACAAUCAGUCAUCAGUUCAACCUUCUUGUGCAUCCUCUCAGAUAAUUCAGGCUUCUCACCCAACUCGGGCCUCUAACUCCAUAACUCCUGUCGUGAUCAAACACCAGGGCACAUGGAACACCAAGUCACUCGCACCAAGAGGACCAGGACACCAAAGAAACCUCUUCUGGAGGUCCAACAAAGACCUAAACAAGCCAAUAUGGCAGUGGUGAACCAACGAUCAUUUUUCAGUGAUUCACAUGUAUUUGGCAUAUGAUCGUAUUUUGGUCUAAUCAUGUGUGAUUAGACCUUUAGACCUUGAUUACGUCAAUAAAUUGAUUUGGCAACUAUGUACGCUUUGUCGUCAUGUUUUGAUUUUCUGUAUUUUUCAUUUGGGAUUAUGUCCGACUUAGAUCAUAUCAUGUAAUGUUGUCACUUUGAAUCA